This 110-nucleotide ribosomal RNA is filed under the name bovine gut metagenome. The record is from RNAcentral.
GGUGACUAUAGCGGGGAGGCCACACCUGUUCCCAUACCGAACACAGUAGUUAAGCUCCUUUGCGCUGAUGAUACUUGGCGGGUGACUGCCUGGGAAAGCAAGACGUUGCC